AAUCAACGCUGGCGGCGUGCCUCAGACAUGCAAGUCGAAACGCGAAAGUCCCCUUCGGGGGGCGAGUAGAGUGGCGCACGGGUGAGUAACACGUAGGUAAUCUACCCCCGAGUGGGGAAUAACUCAGGGAAACUUGAGCUAAUACCGCAUAAUGCAGCGGCACCACAUGGUGACAGUUGUUAAAGCAUUUAUGUGCUUGAAGAGGAGCUUGCGGCCAGAUAGCUAGUUGGUAAGGUAAUGGCUUACCAAGGCGACGAUCUGUAGCGACCUGAGAGGGUGGUCGGUCACACUGACACUGAAUAACGGGUCAGACUCC
RNAcentral lists this ribosomal RNA (316 nucleotides) under uncultured bacterium. RNAcentral's name for it is "bacterial SSU rRNA". It matches the Rfam family "Bacterial small subunit ribosomal RNA", at positions 32 to 339 of the family's 1533-position model. The record is from RNAcentral.